RNAcentral lists this ribosomal RNA (468 nucleotides) under uncultured bacterium. Its description in RNAcentral is "partial 16S ribosomal RNA". It matches the Rfam family "Bacterial small subunit ribosomal RNA", at positions 28 to 507 of the family's 1533-position model. The record is from RNAcentral.
GACGAACGCUGGCGGCGUGCUUAACACAUGCAAGUCGAACGGAAAGGCCCUGCUUUUGUGGGGUGCUCGAGUGGCGAACGGGUGAGUAACACGUGAGUAACCUGCCCUUGACUUUGGGAUAACUUCAGGAAACUUGGGCUAAUACCGGAUAGGCGCUCCUGCUGCAUGGUGGGGGUUGGAAAGUUUCGGCGGUUGGGGAUGGACUCGCGGCUUAUCAGCUUGUUGGUGGGGUAGUGGCUUACCAAGGCUUUGACGGGUAGCCGGCCUGAGAGGGUGACCGGCCACAUUGGGACUGAGAUACGGACCAGACUCCUACGGGAGGCAGCAGUGGGGAAUAUUGCACAAUGGGCGGAAGCCUGAUGCAGCAACGCCGCGUGCGGGAUGACGGCCUUCGGGUUGUAAACCGCUUUCGCCUGUGACGAAGCGUGAGUGACGGUAAUGGGUAAAGAAGCACCGGCUAACUACGUG